Molecule: ribosomal RNA, 484 nt
Filed under: uncultured bacterium
Lineage: Bacteria
Description: partial 16S ribosomal RNA
Rfam family: Bacterial small subunit ribosomal RNA
Source: RNAcentral
AUUGAACGCUGGCGGCAGGCCUAACACAUGCAAGUCGAGCGGAUGAAGGGAGCUUGCUCCUGGAUUCAGCGGCGGACGGGUGAGUAAUGCCUAGGAAUCUGCCUGGUAGUGGGGGAUAACGUCCGGAAACGGGCGCUAAUACCGCAUACGUCCCGAGGGAGAAAGUGGGGGAUCUUCGGACCUCACGCUAUCAGAUGAGCCUAGGUCGGAUUAGCUAGUUGGUGGGGUAAAGGCCUACCAAGGCGACGAUCCGUAACUGGUCUGAGAGGAUGAUCAGUCACACUGGAACUGAGACACGGUCCAGACUCCUACGGGAGGCAGCAGUGGGGAAUAUUGGACAAUGGGCGAAAGCCUGAUCCAGCCAUGCCGCGUGUGUGAGGAAGGUCUUCGGAUUGUAAAGCACUUUAAGUUGGGAGGAAGGGCAGUAAGUUAAUACCUUGCUGUUUUGACGUUACCAACAGAAUAAGCACCGGCUAACUUCGUG